CUGCUUGGUACCCUCUCAGGAGCGUUCAGUAGAGAAGAACUUCUCUAAAAUGAGCAGGCUCAUUUAUCUCUAAAACCUGUAUCACCUCUCCUGCCUCCCACUCCUUCCCACCCCUCAGCUUAUCUUUGCAGGAUUAGUGACAGGUCUCUACACAAUGCCCUUCCUGGCUUCUUUUCUCCAUACACCCCUGUGAGGUGGGGUAAGGGUCAUCCUCUGAAAUGCUUUUUUAUUCCCUGCUUUGUGCUAGCCACUGUCCCCAGAAUGCACCUUGUAUAGUGGUUGGAUUUCACAAACUAAUAUUAUAGUCCUUGAAAGCUGGAGCUCCAAGUUAGCAUGUUGGAUCCUGAGGAAUAAUGUGGUAGGUGGCAGACAUCACCUUGUACUGUGUGAACUAAUAUGAAAGGACAUGUCCUGAGCUUUUUCCAGGUAAACUGGAACUGUAAUGAAUGAAUCACCAGUUCAGGUGAGACAAACCUCUUUGAGAACACAUGCUUGUCCCUGAAAUUUGCACAGGUACUCCUGUGACGUGCUUCCCAGUUGGUUGCUUUCUGUUUGGUUUCUUCUGGUUUUCAGAACAAUAAAGAAGAUUAGGCUUAGGAAAAACUACAUCAGUCAUUCCUGUAGUUUCUCAGGAUUCUUGUGAUCAUUCCUACAGGCUCUUGUUCAGUUUAGCAGCAGUGUAUGACUUUGGAUCAAAAUCCACCUGAUGUUUUAGAGUGCAACUCUGAGAAGGGUCUUAUAAAACAAGAAGGAAAUCUGACUACUCAGUUCAUAUAGGACUGACUUUACAGCACUGGUUCAGGAAAUGGAAGUGCUGCAGCCACAUGAGUGUUCAAUAGAUUGCAUUUUCAGCUCUCAUCCAUCUUCUCAGCCUUCUAGGGUUAUGAUUUUGACAGUAGGCUGUCUAGUUGGGAUGGUUAGAGUUGAGCCUGCACAUCUUUCCACUUACCAAGUGCACCAGUGGAAGCCAAAGAAAGAACAAAAAAAAAAAAAGAGAGCCAAGAGAUGCGCAGCCAGUCACUGCAGAUAAUUUUCCUAACUUAGUUAAUGCUCUGAGACUUAACUGUAAAGAUUUUAGUAGUGCAAGAGGAACACCAUAGAGGAGGGGAUCUAUUCUGUUAUCUUCUCUCUAUGACAGUUAUUUUUCUCUGUCUUAAAGAAGUUUCCAUGCUGAUGUUGUUUUUUGUGGUCCUUCGUAUUGCUGAUAGCCUUCCUAAUGGGUAUUCCUUGCUCACCUCUUGCUUCUGGCAUUUCACUUUUGUCCCUUCCCUGUUUCUCUGUUUCCUAUGACUGUGUUAGUAGGGCUAAUGUCUGGGAGCCUGUAUUGUCCAGUGGCUGUUACUUCCCACAGAACCUCUGUUCAUGUGUUUUCAGAUCUUUGUCUAUGCCGUAGCUGCUGUUAUUCUUUCCCUGUCUGCUGUACUGAAGUCUACUCAAUGAAUUUAAGCUUAUGUUAGACCUGUGAAUGUCCUGAGGAGGGAGGGUAGAAAUGUAUUAGUGAAGAAAGUCCUCAUAGUAGCAGGAAAAAAUAUCAUGGAACAAGAGUAUAAACCUUGCCUUUUAGUUCUUAAAGCAAGAAACAAAUAAAAAUCUCCUGUACAAUGACAUUUUACAUUGUGUAACAGUUCCUGGGUUCCUUCCUUUCAGAAUUCCUCAAGAGAAAAUGAGUGUGAGUUUAGUCCAGCAUCUCUUACCGUGGACUUCAACCAAGUGAAUUUCUGUAAGGAAUUCCCAGAUUGUUUCAUUCACAUUGGUCACAUCAAAUCAAAAGCUUCAAGGAUUACAUCGUUACUAGUUUUCCUUUAAGAAUCGUGUUUGGUGUUUUCCAGUAGAUGAGAGUGGGAAUUAGAAUGACCGUAAAGCUGUAGGUCACCCAUGAUUUUGAUUGAGGCUGUCUUUCCCCAUCACGAAUUCCCACCCAUACAGCUGGGCUGCACAGCUUUCAGAGCUGGGCUGUGAGAUGGGAGCUCACCUCCAAGUCAGCCUGUAUUGGGAUUGCUUUGAAACCUGCCAGGCAUUAGGUUGGUCAGUCUGGAGGCAUCUUUCAGCCUCAGCUGUUGGGUGUGCAGAGGGUGUGCAUGGAGAGAGCUUGUGGUUUUGUUCUUGCUGCUGUUUCUUACAGCGGGACCUGUUGUGCCUAACCCUGAACAAAGAAGAGCAACCGGUCAGGCUGAGUGUGCAGGGCAGCUACUGCAGCAAAUAGACCAAAUGGUAGACAAAGGAGACAUGGAGUUGGAAGGAAGAGGUCUCUCAGGGUUCUGGAGAAGGUACUAAUACUGUGGCUAUGAGCAGAUGCAAGCUGGCUGUGUCUGAGACUGUGUCAGAGACUAUGCCUGACUUUGGCAGUUCAGGUGAUUCUGCCUUAUCUUCAAGAAUGGAUCCCUCCUUCCUGUAGUUAUACCGAAGUCUCCCAAGGCAAAGGAAUGUGCAGGGGUGUCCUUUUGUCUUGUGUUAAGGUGCAACAUCCCCAGUAAAUAUUCCUCUUCUGAGCUUUUGGGGGACUUUUUUGAGCUUUCUGACUCUUCUGAGUCUUUGGGGAAAAAGAAAGCCCUCCCAUGAGUAUUACUGACCACAGCCACAGCCCCAGUACAAUGCGGCUUUUAUCAGAUGAGUGCCAUCUCCAGCCCCAUUUCUAAAGGACUUAACCACUCCGCCUUCUAACAGGGCCUUCCCAGGGUGGAUCUUCAGCCCCGUUAAGCAUAAUCUUGACACCACUACAGCAUCUUUUUGGUGGGAAGAACUGACCUGGAAGUACUAAGCUGUGGAAAAGUAAACUUGCAGCGUGACUGUUGGGUUGGAUUGUUUCCUGUGUUGUUCAGCUUUUCAGAUUACUUGUCUCAGCUUUGAAAUGCUUUAAAUGAAGUUCUACCUUUUUUAAGUUUCAAAUUAACAUACUGGAGAUGUUGGGUUAAAGUGUCUUUUUCUUCGCAACCUGGAGUGUUUUGGGAAAAAAGCAACAUGCUUUAAGAUUCUGAUCCUUGAGUGUCAUAAAUUGGGACUUUUGCAAUUUAAAAUUCUGUGAGAUCCUAAUAAAAAUCAACUAGCAUCA
This is an RNA transcript of Melopsittacus undulatus (budgerigar), 3049 nucleotides long. It is a transcript of the gene named membrane anchored junction protein, with no coding region annotated. The record is from RefSeq and is a predicted model, not a curated record. NCBI's taxonomy places the organism in Eukaryota, Metazoa, Chordata, Aves, Psittaciformes, Psittaculidae. The transcript is spliced from 2 exons.